This 23776-nucleotide long non-coding RNA is filed under the name Mytilus galloprovincialis (Mediterranean mussel). Lineage: Eukaryota; Metazoa; Mollusca; Bivalvia; Mytilida; Mytilidae. The record is from RNAcentral.
GAGGAUUUUUACGCGCGAGCGAGGUAAGUGUUAAGUUUUCAUUUAAAAAACAACGUUUGAAUUAAGUAAGCAUGCUCUGCAAAUAAAAGCAAACAAUAUAAAAGAUUGAUAUAUUUUGUCGCAUAUCAAUUAGUAUGCAACAGCUACAGGGGUUUUAUUUAUUUGUCACGCAUAUUGAUUGACAAAUAUUAUGUCAUGCAAAAAAAUCUUAAAUGUAAAUGUCAACACAGUUUUUAUAAUAUAUGCAUAUACAUAUCGAUUCCUGCAAUAGAAAAAAAAAACAAUUAAUGUAGUACGCAGUGGCGGAUUCACAAAUUGUCAUAAAGGGGGAGGGGCAGUGACUGCUUAAGAGGGGCCGCUCCAGUCAUAAUUCAGUGAUUCCCUAUAUAAUCAACAUUUUUCCCCCCACAAAAUGGGGAGAGGGCAGAAAAACCCUCCAAAUCUGCUUCUUGUACGACAUCUAUAUAGUUAGUAAACAACAUACCUGUACGAACGGCAGUACAACAUAUAGAGAAGUCACGAAUAAGGAUUUUUAUUAGCUUAGAGCUUCAUUUUCCGAAUAAGAUGGGAGGUUUUGACAAAACAAGAUAUUACCAAAUUGUCAAUAUGCUUGUUGUAUUCAGGUAAACCAAAAUCUCAAUAAACCAUCUAUCUUCGAUUAGGUUUGAAAUGGAAAGUGCAUCAAUAAGGUCAUUGACCGUUACCUAUGAAUUAUUUUAGGCGUUUUAGUUAUUGUGAACAUGUAAUAAGUUAUAAAUACAAUGUUGAAAAGAUGAGUGUGGGAGGGUUUAUAUAGGUGAAUACUCGGGUGAAUACUCUCUGUCUAUAUAUUUCAUACCUGUAUUGUUAAUCAGCAUACUUCUAAAGUAUAUUUUCAUCAGUAGAAUUAGCUUCGAAUAUAUUCUAUCAAUAUGUGAUGCACUUAACAAUAUAAAACCACAAGAGCAAACUGACACGUGUCUCUUAUUGCAUGAUAGCACUUUAUAUGGAAUUCCAGCUGGUUCGAAAAACAAUCACAUCCUAUAAGCCAUAAAAAGAAUAACGAGCUAGAAAUUAAAAAAUCCUAAUCUUCAAUGAAAUAAAUACCACUGAGACCAUCAUCAACUAAUUGUAUAGACAUUUCUAGAGUUUUGUAACUGGUCUAUAUAAAACAAAAACAUAUAAUUAACUAGUACUAAACAUAUUCUGACUGAUUUUGGUCUCUCCUGAUAAUGUAUUCAAUUUAUUUAUUCACCACAUGUUUUCAAAAAUGUACUAACUUUUGACCAAUUUUUCAUAGAAACUUUAAUCUUUUAACAUACAAAUCAAUGUAUUUUGACGUAUAUGUAAAUUUAAUUCUUCCGCCUUUAAUUUUUAAAUGCAAACAUGAUUUAUGUGAUUUUAAGAAAACGUAAGUUUAUUUGUGUGAAGCCAUUUUUCUUCACAGUUGAAAGGACAUUCUGACAAAUGUUUACGAAUUUGAAUGGCUUGUUUACAAUGCUAUAUGUACUCUCACCUAGGUGGCAAGUGCUAUAUGUUAUCGUAUGGAAGACAAUGAAUUGAAAGCUGAUCAAACAAUUUUUAAUUGAAAUCUAAUAUUUUUUUAAUGCCUCCCAUCUGGUUCGCAUGUUUCUCCUAGCUUUAUAUAAAUGUAUUUUAUUGAGACACCCAAGCUGAUUGACGAGUAUAAGUGCCGAAACCCCAACACCCAUCCGUACGGAAAAAAGAAUGUAAGUGAAAAAAUGGCAAGAUACCAGUAAAUGUUAAUAUGUAUCUUUCUCUAUAUUAUUUAAUUUAUCAGUACUUAAUUGUAUCAAGGAACAUUAAAUCAAAUUCUUCCAGUUUCAUACAGUAAAGCAUGAAUAUCCAUCUUCAACUUUCUUAUUUUGAUACAUUCAGCCAUAAUGAUUUCUUCUACGGCCUGUUACCUUGCAAAUUUCAUAAAAACGAAACAAAAACUAGUAAUGUGGAUCUUGGAAAGUCUGAUGUUUCUGUGACUGGAUUUUUAUAUUCGACUACACGAAAUGAAUACAAAAAUGUAUAAAAUACGAUAUGGAACGAAAAUGUAAAAUCUAUGUAAUUUCUUUAGAGUUCGAAUAGUUUAAAAAAAAAAAGCUAUUAAACUAACUAACAGACUACAACUAAUGAAUCAACAGUUCAGAGAAUUAAAGCAUUCAAAAUGUUGAUUUUGGAUUUUUUUUAAACUGUGAACACUGUCAGUUAUCGAUAUUGUCGAUAUCGAUAUAAAUACAAUGAUAAAGAAUAUUGAAAGUGCGACUGAGCAAGGUUGCUCCAUAGACAUUACAUGAUUAUUAUGGAGCGUUUGUCGAAAGAAGUGAUUAAAAGAUUUAUGGUAGUACUAAAUAACAAUAUUGUUACACGGCUUGACAUCAGAACAAAACUGUUUAUUAAAUAUUGCUUCAUCCAUGUCUUCCUCUACCAUUCAAUACCCACCUUCUUUUCUAAGAGGGGCCUCGGUGGCCGAGUGGUCUAAAUAGUUACUUCUAUAAUCACUAGCCAGUCAACACUGAGGUUGUGAGUUCGAACCCCGCGUGCCCGCCCGCGUGUGCACUCGACUCCAAUCUAAAUUCUCCGGCUUCAUCCGCCAAUAAAAAACUGGCCGCCACGAAAUCAAAUAGCCCAAAAGCGGUGUUUAAUAGUUGCGUUAAAACACAAAAAAAAUAAUAUUUUAUGUAUACUUUCCUCUAUUUAACAUGUUUAACAAUUUAAAAUACGGAACAAAAUUGAUUCAUGCAUUUCAAUUUAAACUACCUUAUGAAAUCUACACCACUGUAUUAUUUUCACCAUAAAAUAUCGAUACCUGUGUGAUUCACGGUAUGUUAAUUUAAGGUCAAAAUUUGAUUUAUAUAAAAUGACAUUUUCCAGCUGUUAUCUUGUUGAUGAAUCUUUACAACUUGUUAUACUAUAGCAAUGAAAUUAAAAUUUAUCACUUCCAUUUAAAGUCAUCUUACAAUAGAUCUCGUAUGCUUCAUACACAUAUCCUUUAUUUUGGCGCCAAAAAGACAUUGCAUAAACGUCAGUAUGUAUACACCAAGAAAGGUGUGGAAGAGGAACAGAGACAAGUAUAUAUAUGAAGCUGAAGAGGCACAGAUAUCAAAGACAAGUUGAAAGAAAGUUUAUAGAUAUCUUACUGAAAGCAAACAUACAUUUAUGAACUAAAGCUGUGCGAACUAACUAGACGCAGAAGUGUCACCAUUGGCGUACGGGAUUACUUUUCCUACACCCUUUUCCUUUCUUUUUCUUUGUGAUGAUGUUACAUCUUAUUGGGUAACACACGUUAUAUUUUCAACACUUUGAUUUCAAUUUUUUCCCACUUUUGUAGCAGAAUUAUUCAAAGACAUUAUGAUUCAAUUCAACACUCUCCUUUUUCGACUGCAGUCAAACCUUAAUUGUAAAACCUCUGUUGUAGUCGUCUAAUAACAUUUUGUUGACAUUAAACAAGCCGAAUACUCGCAAUUGUCUUUAAUAAGGCAAUACAAACUAUCUCCAUCUUCAUUGAAACCAGAUGACCAGCGAGCCUUUAUGUUAUAAUGGAUAAUAAGACCUUCAAGUCUGUUUUCUUAGUUUCUUGAUCAACCGAAAGAUAUAUAAUAUAACACGUCUUGUGUGUUUUUUUCUUCAUUUUCUAUUCUUUAAUACUGUUAGAGAAUGUCUGGUGUGAAGCUAUAAUACCUCGUUUUCGUUAUUAUAGGUAUUGCAUAUCAUAACUAUAUACAUAUCUACAUCGACAACUCUAUGCUACCUAUUGUAUAGUAGCGUUUUUUUCUCACUUGACUUUGUAUAUUUCCAAGGUCACAAUACUCUACACAAAGAUUGUACAAAAACAUACAGUUGUACUACAUGUAGAUAGAUAUUAACAUCGACAACUUUAUGCCAUAUUGUAUAACAUCAUUUGCUCUCGUCUUGACUUUGUACAUGUUCAAGGUCAUCUAAGAUUCUACAAAAAAAAACACCUCCAGCUGUACAACCUUUUGUUAGAAGAUAAUAGUUCUAAUCAUCAUUUGCAUUGCUGCGUGCAUUUUCAUCAUCCAAUCUGGUAGAUGUGUUAAACAUACGGCAAGGGGUGAUAGCAGAAAAUUAUCUAAUGAUCUAGAAGUAAAAUAAUAUAGCUCAUCAAGUUUAUUUAUUCAGAGCCGUCUUUUGUUUACAUUGUCUCAAGGUUUUUUCUGACUGAAGUCACUUUGACAUAUAAAACUGGAUAAAACGUGUUUUCUAAUAAUCUUUAUUUUGAGAGUAGAGUAUACUUCUGUCAGAAUCAGAAUCAGAACCGACCGUGCGAGGGCUGUACAGACAGUCAAGGUCGUUAAAAAUCUCCCUUUUCAUCAGAAUUGCCUUUGAGGACGUUAGUUCAGUGGCGUAUAUUUGAAUUCAACCAUGCUAUUUCAAUUAAACAAAAGAUAUGGUAUGAUUGCCUAUGAGACUACCAUACACCAGAGUUCAAAUCAAGUGGAUGUAAUGUAUGGUCAAUCCAAUAUGAUAUCUCCUAGUGUUUGGAUUGUUUGUCUCCCAGAGUUUGGUAUUCGUAAAUGUCUGCUCUUGUUUAUUAAUUCUGGUGACGCGUUCCUUCAUGAUGCUGUUCUCUCCCAUUCACGUAUUACAUGCUGAAUUUAUUUUAGAUUACCCCUUUUCAACAUUACAUGGAUGUGUAUACGUUGGUUGAUUGAUUUAUUAUUGUUUGCCUUAUGUCCAGUGAUAGAUAUUUCAUGAAAAUAAGGUGACAAUACAUGUAGGUAUGUUCUGUACAGGUGGUCGUUAGGGAUGUAAGGCUGGAUCUUUAGACUGUCAUUGAGGGAGGAAGACAUUUUGAAUAGUGAACCUAAAAAGUUGUUACAAGUAAAAUUGAGAAUGGAAAUGGGGAAUGUGUCGAAAAGACAACCAUUCGACCAUAUAACAGACAACAGCAGAAGGUCACCAAUAGGUCGUUAUAUACUUGUUUAGCGUGUACUAGUCGCACUCUCUAUAUACGAGAUAAGGAGGGUCUGUCUGUUACAUUUUAUGACAGCAUAGUAUUGUACUUGUUUUUCCCACAUUGAACUUGUUAGCUCACCUGGCCGAAAGGCCAAGUGAGCUUUUCUCAUCCUUGCGCCGGGUCCGUCGUCUCGUCCGUCGUCGUCCUGCGUUAACUUUUACAAAAAUCUUCUCCUCUGAAACUACUGGGGCAAAUUUAACCAAACUUGGCCACAAUCAUCAUUGGGGUAUCUAGUUCAAAAAAUGUCCGGUGCCCCGCCCAAGCAACCAAGAUGGCCGCCAUGGCUAAAAAUAGAACAUAGGGGUAAAAUGCAGUUUUUGGCUUAUAACUCAAAAACCAAAGCAUUUAGAGCAAAUCUGACUGGAUUAAUAUUGUUCACCAGGUCAAGAUCUAUCUGCCCUGAAAUUUUCAGAUGAAUCCGACAUUUCGUUGUUGGGUUGCUGCCCCUGAAAUGGUAAUUUUAAGGAAAUUUUGCUGUUUUUGGUUAUUAUCUUGAAUAUUAUUAUAGUUAGAGAUAAACUGUAAACAGCAAUAAUGUUCAGCAAAGUAAGAUCUACAAAUAGGUCAACAUGACCAAAAUGGUCAGUUGACCCCUUUUGGAGUUAUUGCCCUUUAUAGUCAAUUUUUUACCAUUUUUUGUAAAUCUUAGUAAUCUUAUAGAAAAAUCUUCUCCUCUGAAACUACUGGGCCAAAUUUAACCAUACUUGGCCAUAAUCAUCAUUGGGGUAUCUAGUUUAAAAAAUGUGUCCGGUGACCCGGCCAACCAAUAAAGAUGGCCGCCAUAGCUAAAAAUAGAACAUGGGGUAAAAUGCAGUUUUUGGCUUAUAACUCAAAAACCAAAGCAUUAAGAGCAAAUCUGACAGGAAGUAAAAUUGUUGAUCAGGUCAAGAUCUAUCUUCCCUGGAAUUUUCAGAUGAAUCGGAUAAUCGGUUGUUAGGUUGCUGCCCCUGAAUUGGUAAUUUUGAGGAAAUUUUUGCUGUUUUUUUGUUAUUAUCUUGAAUAUUAUUAUAGAUAGAGAUAAACUGUAAACAGCAAUAAUGUACAGCAAAGUAAGAACUAAAAAUAAGUCAGUAUGACCAAAAUAGUCAAUUGACCCUCUAAGGAGUUAUUGCCCUCAUAGUCAAUUUUUAACAAUUUUCUUAAAAUUUGAAGAUUUUCAAUAAACAUUUUCCACAGAAAGUACUGUUAUAGAUAGAGAUAAUUGUAAGCAGCAAGAAUGUUUAGUAAAGUAAGAUCUACAAACACAUCACCAUCACCAAAACACAAUUUUGUCAUGAAUCCAUCUGUGUCCAUUGUUUAAUAUUCACAUAGACCAAGGUGAGCGACACAGGCUCUUUAGAGCCUCUAGUUUUAUUAAAAUCGUCGCUCCAAUAUCUUUUAGGCUUAUUUCGCUUAAAAUUUAAAUGAAUACAUUUAGGUGGUUGUACAUGUUUUGUGCCAGUUCAAAGUUCGUAUUGCAAUGAAAAUCAAUGAUGUUUAAGUAACUAACUUUCUGUGUUCAAUGGUGGAUAGCUGUCUCAUUUGCAAUAAUAGCCCGUCUCCUUAAAGACGCAUCACCAAGUCUUACAAAUAUUUUCGACGAUUUUCUGGUAAAACGUUUAAUUUUGAAGGUGCAUAUCAAUUCUAUAAUAAUAAAACAGCAAAUAUUAUUGUCAAGUUUACCUAAUUACCAUGGAGAUUAGGUACACACAGUAAAGUUUUGUUUAAAUGCCAAACGUUUGUCUGAUCUAGUUGCACCAUCGAGAUCACUUUUAAUUCAAAAGGAUGAUUACAGGAAAACGUAAAGGUGAGCCUUAUUUUUUUUAUUGAAAUUUUCAUUAGCUGAUUCUAUUUUUAGAUUUUCUGUAUUUCGAGCUUGUUUACAUUUUGUGAAUGAAUUCGACAAUUCAUGAAUAUUUUUCCUUUUAAUCAAGUCUGCUUUCAAUUUACUUCUGAUCUGUUUAAUCAGGUCGAGUUUCUACGCUAACAUGUAACCAUAUAGGAUUCUAUGUUUCGCGGUGUCCGGUUCGUUUGCCAAUGGACGUUAAACAACAAACAAUCAAUCAAACAAACACAGUCUAGGUCGCUCGAAUCGUUGUUAACUUAAUAAUACAGUAACUGACUUUUUCAUUUGGUCUACACCAGUAUUUUCAUUUGUUUGAGAGAGUGAUGAUAUCAUGCAAAUUUUGUUCAACAGGAAAAUACAUUUACAUCUUUUGACAAAGAUCAGUGAUGUACAUUUGUACAAACUAUAAUUGUAAAUAGAAGCCCCAUAUUAUCCUUAGUUUGAUAGAGAAGCUUUAAUAUUUCACUUAAUAUUUCACUUGCUUGGUCAGUAGUUUUGAUUAAGAAAUACAUUGUAUUUUAUUAUCAUAUAAAUCUUUGGUUUAUAGGAUAUUUAAGACAUAAUAAAACAUUUUGUAUAUUUUACAAAAUUAAAAGAAAUGGGGUUCUUUAUCAAGAACUAAGCACACAAAGUCUACGAGGACGUAUAAUAUUUUCAUAUCUUACAAUUAUCUCACAUUUCUAAAAAUGUAUAUAAGGCAACAAGAAGUGAAUAGUAUCGGCAAAUUACAAAUACAUCAAUUCAUGUUUGCAUUAAAAAAGUCUAGGGAACGCUAAAACACAAAAACUUGAAAGCAAAUGAUCAUACCUGAAAAAGUUGGAGUGGAACUAACCAAGAGUUACUUUUAAAGACAAUCAAAAUUCAUGUAAGAUCAGCUUUAUCUUAGGCAGUUUACAUCUUAGUUCCUUAAUCAUUUCUAAAUUUAUCAACAAUUUGGUUUUAAAAAGUGUAUCAAUGAGUGGAUUACUGUCGCUUAGGGUAUAAAGUUCUGUUAAGCAUUUAUUUCACCAGCAUUAGUUUAAUCAUUUGAAAAAACAUUAGCCUGUUAUACAUUUCUUUGAUCUAAGGAUUUUUUUAUCCUUUGAUAUAAGUGAAUUGUACUUGGCAAAAAAAGUGUCGACGACCUGUUCUUAAUUGUCUUAUCAGCUCUCAACGUAUAAUAUAUACGUUUUUAGCUUAUCAAAGUAUACAAGCUUUUUAUGUUACACCCAUUAUCUGCCACAGAAUGUAAGAGCGACUUCGAAGAAGAAGCACUGAAGAUAACAAGAACUUAACUGUCUUUUCUAUGGAUUUAUGGCGAAUCCAUCGCCUUGGCUAAUUUGAUUUUAAUGGGUCUACAUGGCGGGAAAAUCAAUUCUAAUAUUGAUUUGACGAGAAGUGAAUAAUUGUCUGAUGCUUACGAGAUGUAACUGUCAAAGCUGAUAUACAUAAGAUUCAUACAAGUGUAAAACAGCUAAUCCAGGGUAAAGUACUUUAGCAGAUUACUGAGAAUCAGAUUAGUUGUUAUAUACUGUAGGUGUAACUGUUCUGCCUUUUAUCUGCAAUCUUUAUUGGCGGGAAUUGUCGUUUACCCUCACUCUCUAUUUUGCGGAAUUGUUGUUUCACCGCAAUCUCUAUUGGCGGGAACCGUUUUUGGUAAACCGCAUUCUUCUUUGGCACUCUAUACGGGUGGUAAAUGUUGUUUACCUGCACCCUCUUUAGGGGAAACUGUUUUUUAACCGCACUACCUAAGUUUAAACAUAAUUAUUUAUUUAUAGUGGAUUGGGAAACAAGUUUUGCAACUUAUAUUAGUUUCUGAAAUUUUCAUCCCGGACUGGGAAUCGAAUUAGGAACCUCUGUGAUAGUAGUCCGAUGCACUAACCACUACAACCUCACUAGUAUUGGUGUGAAUUGUUGUUUUUCCUGCACUUUCCAUUGGCGAGAAAUAUUCGCAACUACAUUUGUCUACAUAGAUGUCCACCCUACAAUAAAUGUUUGUCCUGGUGAUAUAUAUAAUUGAUUGUUCAAUUACCUCAGAAAUAGUUGAUGUUUAUAUUGGUUUGGCUAUACUGUAUGCGAAUCUUUUUAGGUUUUACAAUCUAAAAAAGCUUCGUUUUGAGCGUUUCUGAUUAAAGUAAGCGAAAAAGCGAUUCAGAACUUUUCUUGAUUUUCUUAAUAUCUAUGCAUUAUUAUAAGAAAUAUUAAAAAUCACAAAUUUGUUCAUGACGACGUUUUCUUUAGUAUUAUUUUAUUGUUGUAUACUCAUUUUGUUUAAAAAAACACUUAACUUUCUCGAAGAAGUAAAAAAAAUGAAUACAUGAUGACAGAGUAUGUCUGAUAAAGUGCUGAACAUUCAGCUAAAACCCACAAUUGUCAAUAUUUCCCUGUAAGAUCACCCCCAGUUUUUAGAGGGGUGUAUGUUACUUAGUCAUUAUUUUUCUGUGUUGUAUUCUAUGUACUGUUGUUUGUCUUGUUUAUUUAGUUUUUAUACCCUUGGCAUUGUCAUCUUAUUUUCAAUAUAUGAGUUUGACUGCCCCUCUGGUAUCUUUCUCCCCUCUUUUACAACUUGUGAUGAUGAAGAUUAACAUAAAAAAUAUUACAGUUAAGAAUGUAUGUAUCACAAGUCCUACAAAUGGCCAAAUAUCAACUACUUGACAAAUAAAAACCUUUUGGACUAAUGUUUCACCAGUCUUUCACAGAGGCGGAUUUUGGUUGCUUAUAUAGGGAAUCAUCGAAGCGUGACUGGAGCGGGCCCCCUCUUAGGUCAGUCAGAGGGCCCCCAAUUAUGAAAAUUUCUGGAUCCGCCACUGUUUCAAACCACUCGGUUACGGCAAAUCAACGUUUUAUGUCGUUUGGAGUUGUGUUGGACCUAAAUUAACCUUUUCCAGGAAUCAUCAAAUGCUAUUAGAAAAUAAGUCGGAAUUAUGGUUUUAGAAACUAGUUUUCUAAUUCAUUUUGUUAUCUUAUUGAUUGCCGAAUGCAACAUUUGUUGUUUUAUUGCUUCUAAAAGCGUUUAAUUGUUCGUGUUAAACAUCUUAGAUGUGUUUUUUUUUCUAAAAUGAGCGUUUCCUGUUUAUUGCAUUUUUAGUCAAGUAUUAUAUGAUAAUGAUAUAAAAAAAAUCCUGCAUACUGUAAUGCAUCGGGAUAUGCCUGUAUUGAAAAUGAAAUUGACGAUUAGAUCCAUUUAGGUCACACUUUUCUAAAGUAUAAAUUGAUUCUUGAAAAAACCUCUGUCUUCAAUAAAAUUCCAGUUACUGUUUUCCAACAACAAAAAAACGGAUAUAAAGAAUGAAUCUAGAUAGGAAAAGUUGUAGAAAUAUUUGAAAUGGGACAAUUUCGUUGAUGUUAAUUUAAUGCUAGUAUAUUUUAGUAAGCUUUUUAAAAGAUAACAGGUUUAAGCACAAUGACACCGUCAAUGAUCUCAUUGUAAUAUUCCCGAUUGUGACAUUUGAACGGAUUUUGAAUUUUUAUUUGUCUGCAUGCGGAAACGCUCGCUCUGUCUCGCUUUUUUUUUUUUAGAAAUUUUCCAAAUCCUUUAGUUGUUGUUUGUUACCUUGAGUUAUCUUUCCCUGAUCGAUUUAUGACCUUUGAACAUCGGAAAACUAGUCUUCUGUUGCCUUAAUUUAUUUUGCAUAUAUGUUUCUUGUUUCUCAGAAUUAUUUCAUUUUAUUGUUAAAAAGUAUAUGAGUUGUUUAAACUAAUGGUAAGUUAAAGUAGAAGUAGUGUAAAUGCAAUGAGGCGACAGCAAAACUUCAUAACAAACCCAAUAUGUUUAGGCUUUUAUAUAGAUAUCUUAAACGGAGAAAUAGUCUAGUUUAUUUUUAAAUGACUGUAAUACGUAUAUAAACUCAUCAUAGAUACCAGGACUAAAUUAAGUAUAUUUAGUAUAACGACUCAUCAGUGACGCUCGAAUCCAAAAAAGUUAAAAUGGCCAAAUAAAGUACGAAGUUGAAGAGCAUUGAGGACCAAAAUUCCUAAAAGUUUUGCCAAAUACAGCUAAGGUAAUCUAUGCCUGAGGUAGAAAAGCCUUAGUUUUUCAAAAAAUUCAAAAAAUUUGUAAACAGUAAAAUGUUGCAGUGUCCGAUUAGAUUUUCGAGCAAUAUUUUUGCAGCUACGCCCGGUCGGAAUUGUAUGACUUUAUUUUGAUAAAUUGGCCCUCUUUUAGCUCAAAAAGGUCUUUUGAAAUGAAUGUCGAAUUUGGUCAUAUCUUUUCCGAGUGUCACUUCAAUAGGAAGGAUUAUAAGAGCCAUAAUUUGGACAUUGAAUGUGCAAAAAUAGUAGUUUGAUAUAAUCAGCAAAAUGUAUUGCAUACAAGUUACUUGAUAUGUCAUUAACCUAACAAAAUUGACGUAUUUGAGCCAUUUCGCACAAAGCCUGUUGUUAUUAUAUAUAUAAGAAGAACAACUGUCAAAAUGUUUUCAUCUUGCUCCGCUCGGAACUUUUCUGGAAUGGUCCCUCCUUUCAAAAAUCCAACAUCCGUCCAUAACAAGUGCUUUAAACUUCUAGAAUAUGCACUGUUGUGUAAUCCGUGUGGGAACCAUUAUAUGAUUACAUAUUUCUGCAAGAAAAUAUAAAAUAUAAAAAGAACUGAUUUAAUUAUAUAAAGAAAGUUGUAUAAUCCGGAACAGAUGCAAAUAGAUGUAUAUCUUUAAAAUAAUUCUUUAACCAUAUGACAUUAUGCAUUUAGUUAGCGCACGUAAGAUUUAAUUACGGUGUGAACAGUCAAUUAAAUUACUUGUAUAAGAAAAUUGUGAUAUUUUUUUAAUGUUUUGAUUAACAUCUUUUAAAUCAUUAUUUACAAGUCUUGAUAAAAAUCUCUCAGUUCUGCUUUGGUAUUUGACGAUGUCUGACAAACUGUGCUAAAUUGUAAUGUUUCUGUCCACCUGUUUAUUCGAUAGUUUGUCACGCUCUUAUUCAGCGGUUUGACAGAUUUCGUAUUCAUCAAUUAUGUGUUGUGCAUAUUUACACAUGUAUACCUUUUUAAGUCCGCCCCCUCCUUUUUACCACAUAUCAAAUGGUCGCCUUUUCUUUUAUAAAUAUUCAUAGCAAAAUUCAGUAGUGGUUAUUUUUUUUCAAGUCUUAAUUGUAAUUUUUUAUUAUUAUGUUGUUGUUGUUUUGUAUUGUAUUAGUUGCUUUUUAGAAUUGAAUGUUGAGGCAAAUCAAAUUAAGAUGUGAAACAUUUAUAUAUAGCCUAAAGGAUAACUUUUUAAAGUUUUUAUUUGUUUAACUAGCGCAGGCAAACCAUGUUCUAAUUUUCCCCCAGCUGAUCAAAUUUAUCCUGCUUUAAACAAAUUUCAGCAUCAAUCCCGAAAAAGAUUGCAAACACAUGCAACAAUAUCAAUCAUGGAUUCAUAAUCUUGAACCUCUUAGUACAUUGCCAUAAUCUGAAAAUGACAGAUGAGGUACGUUUACAUUUCAUUGAUAAAUUUUCUUACCUUGAGAAAUAUAUAUAACUACGUAAAAUUACAAGAAUGAGCUUUAAAUCAUGUAAAUGUAUUAACCCUUGAAAACUGACAAACAAUUAUGCAUUUUGACAGUUUCUUCACGAUGUCAGUACCAAUUUGGAAUUUAAUUGAAGAGUAACACAGACAUUCGGCAAAUGUAUUCACGACUGUUUCUUUUUAUCCACAGAGCCAGAAAAUAUAUUCAUUUGAAUCCUAUACCUUUUUAUUCCUUGGUUUUGUAAUAUUUAGGAUCACGAUACAGAAAUAAAAACCAUUGCCUUGAUACCUUCUCCAUUAUUGUCAAGGGAACAAACUCGAUGUAAAUAAACUCACCAUAGAUACCAAGACUCAAAUGUUUUACGCCAGACGUGUAACUAUGGCACGCCGUUAUUAUAUUUAUUCAAUUUCGAGAUAUCAUAUUUAGUUAAAUAAGAUAUCUUAUAAACUAAUUGAGAUAUCUUAAUAACAAAAUGAGAUAUCUUAUAUAUUAAUUGAGAUAUCUGAUUUAUUAAAUAAGAUAUCUUAUAUAUUAAAUAAGAUAUCUUAUUAAAAUGUUUAUUAAGAUAUCGUAUUAAAUAUAUAAGAUAUCUUAUUUAAAAUAUAAGAUAUCUCUAUUAAUUUAUAAGAUAUCUUAUUAACUAUAUAAGAUAUCCUUUAUAUAGUUAAUAAUAAAGAUAUCUUAUUUACUUAAUAAGAUAUCUCCAUAAGUUAAUAAGAUAUCUCUAUUAGUUUAUAAGAUAUCUCUAUUAGUUUAUAAGGUAUCUCUAUUAAUUAAUAAGAUAUCUUAUAAAGUAUGUAUUUAAAAGAUAUCUUUAUAAAGAAGUAAGAUAUCUUAUAUACUUUAUAAGAUAUCUUAUUAAUUAAUAGAGAUAUCUUAUUAACUUAUAGAGAUAUCUUAUAAAUUAAUAGAGAUAUCUUAUAAACGUUUAGAGAUAGCUUAUUAACUUAUAGAGAUAUCUUAUUAACUUAUAGAGAUAUCUUAUAAACUAAUAGAAAUAUCUUAUAACUUUUAGAGAUAUCUUAUUAACUUAUAGAGAUAUCUUAUAAACUAAUAGAGAUAUCUUAUAAACUUUUAGAGAUAUCUUAUUAACUUAUAGAGAUAUCUUAUUUAAUUGGUUCUAAAGAUAUCUUAUUUAAUAUAUAAAAUAUCUCUAUAAGUUAAUAAGAUAUCUUUAUUAGUUUGUAAGAUAUCUCUAUUAAUUAAUAAGAUAUCUUAUAAAGUAUGUAUUUAAAAGAUAUCUUUAUAAAGAAGUAAGAUACCUUAUAUACUUUAUAAGAUAUCUUAUUAAUUAAUAGAGAUAUCUUAUUAACUUAUAGAGAUAUCUUAUAAACUAAUAGAGAUAUCUUAUAAACUAAUAGAGAUAUCUUAUUUACUUUCAAAUUGAAUAAGAUAUCUUAUAAAAAUUAAAGAUAUCUUAAUACUUAAUAAGAUAUCUUGUUAAAUAAAUAAGAUAUCUUCAAAUUUGAAUAAAUAUAAAAACGGCGUGCCAUAUGUAACAGGGUGAAGAAACGGAGUCAGUUUUGUCUGAUUUUUCUUUAUAGCUCAAUAUUUUAUUUCUUUACUUGUAAUUUUCCUCGUAGUUGUUUUGUUUCUUUAUUGUUUACUUAUAUAUUACACAUGUACAAAAUGUAUGUUUUCUUCUAGUUUGUUACGUAGAAAAUGUUUGAUUUUUUUUUUACUACUAUAUCUAUAAAUCAUUUUUAAGGUAAACUGACAGUAGAAUGUUACUGAAAAUAUAAUAUUUGUAAUGCAUUUAAAAGUUAUAUCUAAGUGGUGAGAUAAUUUUAGAAACAGAUAGCUAAAGAUAGAAUAUCAGACAUAUUACAAUAAAACAGCAAUCAUGCAAUUAUUACUGUACUGCAGUUAAACACCAUAUCGUAAAAUAUUGUAUGAAUCAAAUCAAAUCAUUUAAGUUUAAAAUAGAAACAAAUAAGACUUAAAUGCAAAACGUAUUGAUAUUAAAAGCAAUGUUACAACAAUCAUCCGACACAGACAGCAUCAAAAAGCUUCACAAAAAAAAUGAAACUAUGUUUCACAUUUUUCAUUUCUGGAUCUUUUAUAGCUGACUAUAUAUGCAGUGGCGGAUCCAGCCAUUUUAAAAAAAGGGGGGGGGGGUCCCAACCCAGAGUAAGAGGGGGGGUUCCAACUAUAUGCUUCCAUUCAAAUGCAUUGAUCGGCCAAAAAAAGGGGGGUUCCAACCCCCGGAACCCCCCCCUGGAUCCGCCACUGAUAUAUAUAUAUGGCAAAAUUUUCUCAAUGUUGAAGGCCAUACGGUUGCCUUCAAUUGUAUAUGUAUAUGUCGUGUAUAAGUUGCAAUUUUGUACAAGUUAUAACAUGUACAAAUAUAUUUUACAUAAUUUGUACAAUGCUAAAAUACAAGUUAUAACAUGUACAAAAGUACCUCAUACAUGUUAAACAUGUACAAAAUAUUGCUUUAAAAUGGGUUUAACUUGGACAAGAAAUGUUUCUAUUAUUACAUUAGCUUCAAUAAUAUUUUCAUCAUUUUUUUGUUAAUGCCCAUUUAUGUUUAACAGUUUGAUUCCUUUUUGAUACAGUUAAUGACCAGAUAAUUCAAUUUAAUGAUUUCUUAAAAUACCUUAAAACAGGGAGUGAGUGUUUUCGGAUAUUAUACUGGAAUCGUUGAUGAAUGACUUUGUUGCUUUUUGUCCUAACACUGGUUCUAUGUUGUGAGUCAUCUUCCACUUUUAAAAAUGAGCUUUCUUCCUUGUCAUAGUAACCAUUGAUAGUUUUAAAGUUUUUAGUCUCAUUGGAUAACUCAUGUCUUUGAGAGCUGGUAAACUGUAGUUGUUUUGUUACCCUUCUUUUGACUCCUUCUAUUUUAUCAAUGUUGUUUUUCUUGUAUGGAGACCAUACUGAACUAGCAUAGUCCAAAGGAGUUCUGACCAUGGUUUUAUAAUGGUAUGAAUGUCUCAAAAAUGGAGAUGGCAUUAUUCACUUGUUCGCUUAUGUGAGUUCUGAGUCGAUUAGGACUUCUAUGUCUCUUUCCUCUUCAACCUUUGCUAUUGUAUGAUUUAGAAGACUAUAAUUUGGUGAGUGUUCAGUGUUAUUUGUUUUCUUACAUAUUUUCAUGUAUUUAGAUUUUUAUAGAAGGCAGCUGUACUCUUAGUCUGGUAGGUGUAAAUGUAGAAGAAUGAAAGUUUUGUGCAACUCGAGGUUUCACAUAUCUCUGUCUUGUAGCAAAUGUAUGAAAAUUUACUAUUGUAUGCAUGCUUGCAUUGUGUAAAUAAUGCACCUUCCUUUGCUUUUGAUUAUUGUUCUUUAUUAUUUGAUAAAUUUCAAUCUUUCAUGUAUAUUCUGCUUUAUUAUUAUUUUCAAAUUUUGUACAAGUUAAAACCAUUUUCCAGCAAUAUUUUGUUAUAACAUGUACGAGGUACUUUUGUACAUGUUAUAACUUGUAUUUUAGCAUUGUACAAAUUAUAACAUGUACAAUAUUUUUGUACAUGUUAUAACCUGUACAAAAUGCAACUGGUAAAGGACAUAUACAUCUUUAUUACCAAAGUCUAUAUAAACUAUAGGUAAACAAUUAUAUCAACAUCAAUUGAUUACAUCUUCUUCAUUUGAACUGAAAUGAGUGCACCGCACUUACGUCGGUCUAAAGUUCAAAUUAGGGUACAAUAAGUGGCCGUAGAUUUUUUUUUUCAAAUUCGUUUUCGAAAAGUUUGCGUAAUUUGGUGUUACCCAAGUGAUAUGCUCGAAUAAUAAACAUACGACUGACGUAUUGCAUGAGGUUGCACAGAAGUAGAAAAUACACUAAUUAACAUUCAGAGUCAGUGCAUGCAGAUUAAUGUUACGUCCGUGGAACUGCUUAACAAGCUUGUCUUAUUUAAGUUGUCGUGAAUGAAGGAUGCCAACCAGGAGCAAUAUUGAUUUUACAGAAACUGUUACAGUAAACAAAUCUUGUUACGAAGAUGUCAUUAAUCACACUGUCUGAAGAAUAUUCUUUCUGUUACUCAAAUAACAAGUUCAAAUCUAUUUCUAUCACCAUUUGCACCCUUUUCAGUCAGAUAGAUUGGAUCUUAAUUUAUCAAUUCUGUUUAUAGAAGAUUCAGUCAUGGGAUAAAACGUUUGCUUACCAAUAUAAUUAGAUGGUAUUCUUUACAAUAAGAAGGAAUAUAAUGAAGUUGAAUAAGUAACUAAUCUGUUCUUCGAGAUGGCGAGGUAUUUUUCAGCCGAUAGAAUAGUUGUUGGUUCAGUUACUUUCGUUUUGUGCAGAACAGAUUGCAAAAGCAUAAAAAUGGUAUAAAACAUAUAUUACUGAGUGCUUUGUUGUCGAGUUGACUGUCCUUCGAUAGCAACAUAUUUAAUAUUCAUUAUUCUGUAAAUAACGUAUACAAAACAAUGAUCUGUGUUGGUAACUUCGACUUUGACCGUCGUCUGUUAAAUGAAUCAUAAACAAAACAUUUAUGACGAGGAUCUUAGUAUCUUACUUCAUGAUGUUUAAAAUAGAUUGAUUAUUGAUUGUUUAAAUGUCAGUGGCAAAUAUUUCAUACAUGUUAAGAGACUUAUGGACCGUAACUGCACAGCACUGUGGAUUCAUUUCUUCCGUUGUACAAUUUUCGUCAAUUGGAAAAAACUAAAACAGAUUUUUUCGUGGAUAUCUGGUUUCAUGGCUUUGCAUAUAAGCCUAUAGAUAAUUUGUAAUUCAUUGAUAAUUUAAAUUCGUGGUUCACAGGUUCCGCGACAUCCACAAAAAUUGGUAUCACACGAAUUAAAUUGAAUCCAAAAUUUUUACAAAACGAGACCAUUUCGACCAAUAGUUCGUAUGAAACCUGGUCCGCAGCCGAACAAACAUCCCAAUGUACAAAUGAUAUUGCAAAAAGGGUCACGGAGGUCGAGAUCACUAUAUCACUUGUUGUGAAAUUCCCAAUAUUGAUUGACGAGAGUUCUUAGUUUAUUGAACUUUUUGCACCAGUCAACAGAAGCAGACUUAAUUUACUGAUAGAGAAAAUCCUUCGCGGUGGUUUACAUAAUCAUAAACAGUUUUUCCUUUGUAAAGGACAAUGACCCUGCAAAAUAGAUAUUUUUGUUGAAUAUCAAAUAUUAUUAUGGACGUAAAACAUUUGCACAGAAAUAGCACAAAUACAUUUUCAUCGCAUAUUUUUGUGUCAAUACUAAAGAGUCCUGGAUACAUUGUUAAAGUAGAGUAUACAGGUAUGCAUAACGUCUUCAUAUAUUAAGGACAACUUUGCGGGUUUCGCUAAAUACAUAAAAAAUUAUACAUGUAUAAUCCUUCGUCGCUAAGGUCAAAACGUUUAUGUUUGAUUUAUUGCGAGAUAGUGUAUUUGAGGUGAUGUACUCUUUUUUUUUCCAACUAAAAAUGCUGUUACUUUAUUGAUUUUACCUUAGUAUCAAUUUCUAUCAAUUUGAUGAUUAGAAAAAAUCGUUGUCACUAUAUGAUCCUAUAUUAUACUUACUCUAUGUUCUGUGUUUUCGUUGUUUUAAAAAAUAAAUUAAUAAUUCAAGUUGGUGAAAAUAAGGAAGACGUUCUCAAGUAAAAAGGUCAUAAAAUGUAAUUUGAUAAUAAGUGAGCCAAUAAUUUAUCAUCCGAAAAAUUAUGUAAUUUCACAAUUAUAGCUGGUACAUUAUUAUAUUUCAAAGUUAAAUCAUGCCUCAAAUUUUAAGUUUAUUAGUUCGUUUAUAUUUCAAGCAAGAAUUCAUGUAUAUUUCUUUAUCAUAUCAUGUUCGUCGUUUAUUUGUUUACUCUGAAGCAUACAAGAAAUUAUUCAUAUUUCCUCAAGGUAAAUAAUAACUAACAUUUAUUUAUUUAUGAAUUGAAUUAUAAUUUUAUCAUAAAUCUGUAAUGCAUCACGCCUAUAUGUAAAUGCAUUAGAAAAGUAAAACGGUUUAAUGAUUAUUUGUUUAAAUUUAUGUAUCAUGGAAGAAAAUGAAGCCUCAUAAAUUUUACAUUUUAAAUGUAAAAUAUUCGAAAGUCGAAAGUAAUAUACACGUAGUUAAAAGGUGUUUUCCGUGAUCAUUUUAUUUUAAUUAAUUCUUAAAAUGUUAAUGUUGUUAUUUUGAUGUUUUUGUUGAUUUUAUGACAAGUCAUAAACAUCAGUUGAACAACAAAAGGUAAAAAGGUAUACCAUCCACACACAUUACCUUAAGUUUUAUACCAAUAUAUAUAAUGAAAGUUGAGAUUCUUUAAUCAAUUCUUAUUCAAAUGCAUUACAGUACUACUUAAAUCUGUUUUGGUUUUUAAGACUAUUCAAUAUCGGUUUCAAUUAUUUUAGAUUGAAUAAAACCUUCAGUUAAUCCCGUCACCAAAUACAAUAUAUUAUCUACUAUUAACCAAGCAUCUAUAAUACUAAAAUUACGAGUCAAUGUCGCGUAUCACGUAAAACGACGAUCAAAGAAUUCAACUUUAUAUAUGACUAAUAUAAUAUCAAAGGUGUGAGAUUAAAAAUUACACCACUCCAGACCCUUUUGUUUUCACGUAAUUAAUAUUGCAUAAUAAGAAGUUCCGAUCGAGUCGAUACGAUAUCAAAGUAUAUUCACCUGUUACCUAUUACCUUAUUGACGUCCCGCAUCUGACAGGCGCACACCAAACGGUAUUCAGAUUAAUAUGCUAUAUACACGGGUCAUAAUCACGGGUUGACACUACUAAAUUGUCAAAUUGUACUAUUGUAGUAUUUUAACAGUAAGACUUUCUAAGUGCAAUACGAAUACUAAAAAUCUGUGACUAAAAAAGGCGUAUAGGUAAGUUCAAUUUGUUAGCGGACAUGACGUAAACAGCGAAUUAAAAAUUCAACUUAUUAUACUAAUAUAGGAUAAUGCUGUUGAUUAAAAAAUACUCCAUUCCAGGCUUUGUUUCCAAAAUUAAUAUUACCAUAAUUGAUAAGUUCCAGUCGACGGUUCAAACAGAAAGAUUUGAAAGAAAAGAAACUUGUUCUUAUAAUCGGCAUGACUUAUCAGAUGACAAUAUAAUACUAAAAUAAGGCUUGCGAUAGUAUAUCUUUAAUUCAGCAUGACCCGCGAUAUACGGUGUGUUCUAGUAAUAAUAAUAAGGGUGAAGGUUGGACCUAUUAAAACGUGUAAACCAUCUGCAAUUGUUUGCACCUGUCCUAAGUCAGGAACUCAUACCACAUCUUUUUAUAUCUAUGAACAACAAUGCCUGGAAUCGCAAUGAUCGAAUGAGACUUUUAUCAACAGAGAAGGACAACUUGAUAUAUCCGUUGGUUUUUCGUUUCAAUUGUUUUGGAUUGAGUUAUGUCUGGGGUCCUUUAAAUGCCUUCUAUAUAGUAUGAAUCUGCUCAUUGUUAAAGUCCGUGCGGUGACUUAUAGUUGCUUAAUAUAUCUAAUAUAUCUACUUCAUUGUUUCUAAUGUGGAUUGUUGUCUUGACAAUCAUAUCUCAUCUUUAUUUUUUUAUAUACAGAGACAUGGAAACAUUUUAUAGUGCCUUAACAGAGGCAAAAGUAUAGUUUUUUUAACAUUUGUUUUUAUAUACAAACCCAUUGCUUAUCGAAAUACCUAUUUUUUUAUUAUUAUUAUGCCAAUAGUUAUAUGAAUAUGUGUCAGGUUGAUAUAGUUAAUUUCGCAAAGGCAAAACGCAUCAACGGUCAACUGGACUCCAAACGUUGCAACUUUUUUGUGCAUUUAGGGUCCACCUCAGAAAUACAAAGCAGUACUAAUUGUCUAUCUAAUGCCGCUUAUCUGUUACAGUAGUUGUUAAUCAAAUAGCAUCCAACCAUAUAAAGAGUUGUUCGAGCUUCAAUUCACAAUAGAUUUGAGUGGGAACAUUUAUCUUUUCUUUUUCAAAUUGCACUUACACAUAGGGAAUAUUUAUUCGUCUAUAAAUUAUGCAAUGAAAUUAUGUCAAAACAAAUUUUCGAAUAUUUAGAUUUUAUCGCAUAUUUUAAGUUUAUUAUUGCAUUAAAUAUUUUGUGCAUGACAUCACAUUUUAUGUUGCAUUACAGAAGUUAUUUAUACCUGCCCAAGGUAACACUUACCUUUGAAAGAUGCAUUAAAUAUAUACAUAAAUUAAAUGUGGAAUGUAAUACAACAAAUGAAGUAGAAAAUUUUUAUAGUGACAAAUCUAAUAUAAGUAACAUUCGCUUACUAUGGUUAAUAACUACAGUGUAACCUAUGUGAUUCGACACACUGGGGGACAAGAAAAAAAAUGUAAGAUUAAGCAGGGGUCAGAGUAUUCAGGUUUUUAUUGCAAGGAUAGGAUUUUUGGACCACGAAUAUGUGUCGGUUAAAGCAGAUUGUUGGAAUACUCAGGUGUCGGAUUAGGCAGGUUACACUGUACUUGGCUGUAUUUUGAAUAUGGUAUUGACGUUACCUUCUUCUAAAGUGUAUAUUCAUUUAGAAUUUUAAUGCAAAUUAAGAUCUGAUUCUAUUUUGAUUUUAGUCUUGUAUGUAUUUCUUUCCUUAUAUGAUAGUUAUAAAAAACACUUUAUACCGUUAAACAUAAAUUUGUACAUGAAGUGAUUUGAGCCUUUUUCCAUGCAAACUUACGAGAGUCAAGUGUUAUACUUUCACGUUAAAAUGCUGCAAUAAUUCCAGUAAUUUGUAAUCUGUGUUGUCUUUUUCUCGUUAAAAUUGAUUAUUUUAUUUUGUUGAUUAUAUAAAAGUCAAUAUAAAUUCCUCAGAAAAUGUUAUCAAUCCAAAUCGGCUUCUAAAAAAACUGCUUUUAAUCAAAGAAAAACUUGAAAUCUUCUAAAUAAGUUUGAAAUAAUGUCUUGAACAAAUGUAGGCACACAUUUAAUUGUCAAAUUUUAAAUUGGGCGACAUCAAGAUAUCAACAACGAAAAAAAAUCUGACUGUAUUCUAUAGUGUCAUUUCAAGUCACCUAAUCAUAAGAAUCGAGAAACUUGCAGACGCAUUCUAAGACAUAUAUAAGUGAAUUUAGAGUGAUCGAUGAUGAUUACAAAAGCAUUGUCAGGAGAUAUCGUCAACAAGACAGACUAAUUUGGCAACCGGAAAUAAUUUCAAUACAAGAUUCAAUUAUAAUUCAUCUUAGUAACUGUCUUGUAUAAUUCAAUCUUAAGACAUACUAUUAUACUAAUAUAUUAUGGUGUUAUAUUUCCACCUUUAUAUCUUGAAUAUUAUCUUACAUUGUGUCCAUUUUUACGUUUUCAAUCAGGGUUUCAGUGAAAGAAAGUUGUUAUUAAACCGCGGGUUCCUUACUGUAACAUUGAUAUCAUUAUUUUGAUGACAAUAAUGGAAUCUCAGAAUGGAAUAAUGUCACAAAUGACCCCCGUUUGAUGUUCCAUUUGUCUGCGGUUCAAUCCUUUUCUUCAGUCCCAUUUCCUUUUUUAUGCCCCACCUACGAUAGUAGAGGGGCAUUAUGUUUUCUGGUCUGUGCGUCCGUUCGUCCGUUCGUCCGUCCGUCUGUCUGUCUGUCUGUUCGUCCGUCUGUCCCGCUUCAGGUUAAAGUUUUUGGUCAAGGUAGUUUUUGAUGAAGUUGAAGUCCAAUCAACUUGAAACUUGGUACACAUGUUCCUUAUGAUAUGAUCUUUCUAAUUUUAAAGCCAAAUUAAACUUUUGACCCCAAUUUCACGGUCCACUGAACAUAGAAAAUGAAAGUGCAUGUUUCAGGUUAAAAUUUUUGGUCAAGGUAGUUUUUGAUGAAGUUGAAGUCCAAUCAACUUGAAACUUAGUACACAUGUUCCCUAUGAUAUUAUCUUUCUAAUUUUAAUGCCUAAUUAUAUUUUUUAUCCAAUUUCACGGUCCAUUGAACAUGGAAAAUGAUAGUGCGAGUGGGGCAUCCGUGUACUUUGGACACAUUCUUGUUAUUACAUCUUUUUAUAAUCAUUACUCCUUGUGCCAACUAUGGAACGGGAAGUGCUUACCCUUCCGGAGGACCUGCGUUAAAUGUUUGGAUGGUUUAGUGUUUCGAAAUCUUAAGUCUUCUGUAAAUUGGUUUCUGUACUGUUGUUUGUCUUUUCCAUGGGAUAAUUUCUGUCUCCUUUUUAUUCUCCUGAUAUUUUUCAUUAAAAGCGUUGAUUUAAAUUCUAAGUAUUUUAUAAGCAUGGAAUAAAUCUUUCUUAAAUUUACUGUAUUUGAUAUAGCGUAAGAUGAAUAUUCCUUAAUUGAAACAAAAAAAACAAUAUUGAAUUGAAUUGUUAUGUUCUCCGUUAUAAAUGAAUAUUACAAUAUAAGAUCGAGAUAUUAUCUAACUUUAUUGUCAUCAAUUUCCUUAAUGUCUAAUAUUUUUUAGUAUUGAUUCGAUGAAAAAAAGCUGUAGUCGUUGUAUAUGUAGCUAUUAAUCCUUCUGUCUGAACAGAAAAUUGUUUAUUUUAAGGAGAAUCUUUUUCAAUUAUAAGACGGAAUUGUUAAUAAUUAUCAGGCGGAAUUGUUUUCUUUUUUAUUAUAUUGAUCUGACAUCAGAGAAACGGAGCCAUGUAACGAAAAUGCGAUAACAAUUUGUUGUAGAUUAUCUAGUGCAGAAGAAUAAAAUCAUACGAACUAGGUUAUAUAAAUUGAUAUAUCAUACAGUAAAUCCCCAAUAAAUCAAGGAAAUAAGUGAUGCGGACAUAUUUGUACUCUAGAAUUGCAAGGCAUCAAAGUGAGAUAAAACGAAUUUAAUGCGUACGAAGCACUUUUUUCGGAUUAACCUUAAUCAUUAAUGCCCAAAUCAACACAUAACCAAGGAUAAGUACCAAGGUUCACUUUUAACAGUUCUGCCCAAAGCAACAUAUUAUCAGGUAUAAAAACCAGCAAGGCCACUUUUCCUGAUUUAACUUUAUCAGUAACGAACACAUUAUCAAGGAUAAGUCCACAGUAGACUUUUCCCAGUAAUCUACAAGUAAAACAUUACCAAGAGUAAAUACAAAAAAAAAGAGUCUUUUUCCAGAUUUCCCUUUGUCAGUAACGCUCUAAGCAACACAAUUACAAGAGAAAGUACUAAAGUGCACUGUUACCAGUUAUACUCAAAGCAACACAUUACCGACGAUAAAUAGCGAGGUGCACUUUUUAGUAACACUCAAAGCAACACAUUACCAAGGAUAAAUACCAACAAGGAGCACGUUUCAAGAUUUACCUUAAUCGGUAACGCCCAAAGUAACACAUUAUCAAGGUAAAAUAGCGAGGUGCACUUUUUAGUAACACUCAACGCAACAUAUCACCAAGAAAAUACACUGAAAAAGGCAUUAAAUAAGAGAAUAAAUACCAUAAUAGGAACGUUACUUUUUUGUUUACAUACAUUAUUGCAUAUGAUUUUCCUAUUUGAAUUGGUUCACACUGGUCAUUUUUGAGCCCUUUUUAUAGCUUGAUGUUCAAUGUAAGCCAAGAUUCCGUGUUGAAGGCCAUACCUUUACCUAUAAUGGUUUACUUUUUUUUCAUUGUGACUUGGAUGGAGAGUUGUAUCAUUGGCACUCAUACCACAUUACUAUUUAAGUUUACAGUAAGAUUACAUCCUUAUGAUGUCAAAGGAAAAUUGAGCGUGAGAAUUGGAGAGACAAUAUCCUAAUGAAUCAGAACUAUCAAAGUUAAAGUGACAUACAAUUAACCUAUAUAUUUUGAUGUAAGUACAAAACCAUUAUGAAGUGCUUCACUUCACAGCUGGUAACCAGUAGAUUUCCUUUAACUGCUU